UGCGGCUGGAUCCCCUCCUUUCUAAGGAGCUCACCACAUCAUCGCCCGCUUCGUCGGGACACUCGGUGGUGUCAGGUGGCCACGCAGACGCCGUACGUGUGUCUGGUGGUUGCUCAUGGGUGGAACAUCAAGGCUUGGCAUGCUGUUGGGUCCUGAGGACACAGGCCACAGCCACCCUGUUGGGGUGGUUGGGUGUGUUUCUUCUGGUGGCCGCCUUCUGCCGGCUGGUGCGCUGUGUGUGCACUGGUUGGGGUUGGUCGGUGGGUUGCUUGAGAACUGUACAGUGGACGCGAGCAUCUUUGAUCUUUUGUGGUCAAGUUUUUAAGAGCAUUCGGUGGAUGCCUUGGCACUAGGAGCCGAAGAAGGACGUGGUGGCCUGCGAUAAGCCUCGGGGAGUUGGCUAACGAACCGUGAUCCGAGGAUGUCCGAAUGGGGAAACCCGG
RNAcentral lists this unclassified non-coding RNA (443 nucleotides) under uncultured bacterium. RNAcentral describes it as "partial contains 16S ribosomal RNA, 16S-23S ribosomal RNA intergenic spacer, and 23S ribosomal RNA". The stretch from base 312 to 443 matches the Rfam family "Bacterial large subunit ribosomal RNA", at positions 1 to 131 of the family's 2925-position model. The record is from RNAcentral.